GCAUUGAGUUCCAUUCUGGUUAUCACCAAGGACACAUCCCUUGUUAGGACCUCUGUAAAAUGCCUGUAUCUAGGGCCCAUAUUUAUUGUGAUGAGACUUCCCCAAACCUGCAGAGAUAGAGAAGAAGAUGCCUAAUGUGCUCAGUGACGUUUGCCUCUCACUCUCCCUUCAAAGCAUAUAAGCCUUCUGCUUUAUUUCUUGAUCCAUGAGGUUGACGCUCAUUCUUCUGCUGUGCCCAAAUAGGAUUACCCUAGGCUUCCCAGAUACAGAGAUGUUUCUAAGGUUGUUCUUGGAGCACGUUCUUGGAAAAGCUGUAAUUCUUGCUUCACUGGCACUGAAUGUUGCAUUUUCUUACAGGCACUGGAUAUAAACCACCUGAGCUUCAUUCAGGUGUGGAUCCAAAGAGAAACAUCCCAAAUAAAGGCACUGGAUAUAAAUCACAUGUGCUUCAUUCAGAUGUGGAUCAGAAGGGAAACAUUUCAAAUCAAGGUUUUUUGGGGAAUGAAUUUGCACCUCAGGAAAGGAGUGGUAAGUAAAAACUUAUUACUCACAUAUGACUUUUACAUGACUACUACAUGACUACUUUCUUCACACCUAACCAUUCACAAUCUCUUAAUCCAUAGGUUUCCCUGUCUUGCCCUUUCCCUGGUUGUCUGUCUUAUAUCUCCAAAUUUGUUAUAGACUUUUUCAGAAGAUGUUCUUUCCACUUAGUUUCUCCUCCUAAAAGCUAUUUCAGUUCCCAUUUUUCCCAUUCCACAUCAUUUCUUUCCUACACAUAUCAGUAUUUUCUGUUUUCCUCAGUCUGUCUCUGAGGACUUGAUACAGGCUCACUGAAAACUUGAAGAGACAGAGGACAUUAAACUGAAAGCACAGGGUUCCAUCCUGUUUACCUUCUGGGCACAUCCGUAGUCAGGA
Long non-coding RNA from Bubalus bubalis (water buffalo), 915 nucleotides. RefSeq lists it as uncharacterized. The record is from RefSeq and is a predicted model, not a curated record. The transcript is spliced from 4 exons. NCBI's taxonomy places the organism in Eukaryota, Metazoa, Chordata, Mammalia, Artiodactyla, Bovidae.